Molecule: ribosomal RNA, 496 nt
Filed under: uncultured bacterium
Lineage: Bacteria
Description: partial 16S ribosomal RNA
Rfam family: Bacterial small subunit ribosomal RNA
Source: RNAcentral
AUGCACGCUGGCGGCGUGCCUCAUCCAUGCAAGUCGCGCGCACAGACGAGGAGCUUGCUCCUCUGACGUUAGCGGCGGACGGGUGAGUAACACGUGGAUAACCUACCUAUAAGACUGGGAUAACUUCGGGAAACCGGAGCUAAUACCGGAUAAUAUAUUGAACCGCAUGGUUCAAUAGUGAAAGACGGUUUUGCUGUCACUUAUAGAUGGAUCCGCGCCGCAUUAGCUAGUUGGUAAGGUAACGGCUUACCAAGGCGACGAUGCGUAGCCGACCUGAGAGGGUGAUCGGCCACACUGGAACUGAGACACGGUCCAGACUCCUACGGGAGGCAGCAGUAGGGAAUCUUCCGCAAUGGGCGAAAGCCUGACGGAGCAACGCCGCGUGAGUGAUGAAGGUCUUCGGAUCGUAAAACUCUGUUAUUAGGGAAGAACAAAUGUGUAAGUAACUAUGCACGUCUUGACGGUACCUAAUCAGAAAGCCACGGCUAACUACGUG